UAGAAUAACUACAACUACAGCUUCACUUUACAACAUAAAAACAUUCGCAUCUGCAGAUCAUUUCCUGGUUGUCUCCAGCGUCCGUGCUGACUUCCUCCUCCUCCUCUUCGUUCAGAGCGACCUUCCC
Long non-coding RNA from Xiphophorus hellerii (green swordtail), 127 nucleotides. RefSeq lists it as uncharacterized. The record is from RefSeq and is a predicted model, not a curated record. The transcript is spliced from 3 exons. Lineage: Eukaryota; Metazoa; Chordata; Actinopteri; Cyprinodontiformes; Poeciliidae.